CACAACCUAUGUCCUAUCUUGCUAACGCCCUUCCUACCCUUCAAUAGGAGAAAUUGGUUCCAUGAUUUGCAUUAAAAAAUUUAUUAUAGAUAAUUUGAACUAUGUAAAUUUAAUUAGAAAGUUACCAUCAAAAAAACAUAAUUCAUAUAAAAAAGAAUUAGGUUGACUAAAAAUUGCAUAUUCUCUUAGCAAAAUCUAUAGGGAAGCCACCAUCAUAAAGGAUAGAAUUUAUCCUCUGCGAAAGAUGUGAUUAGGGCUGAGCGAAUACAUGAUGAUUUCAGAAUCGAAUACUUGGAAAUUGGCAAUCGUAUGUGAUUUUUCAUUCUAAUGGGUCUUUCAGACUCAUAAAUUACUGAAAACAUUGCAUUUAUCACUCAGUUUACUGAGUUGCCACAAACAAUAAGAAACAUGUUUCACCAAUGAAUUACCAGGGAGAAGAGUGUGCAUUCAAAAUAUAUAGCUCAAACAAAAAAUGACUGAUUCAUCUCAGUCUUUGGCGAAUAAAAAAAAAA
Molecule: non-coding RNA, 512 nt
Organism: Styela clava
Lineage: Eukaryota; Metazoa; Chordata; Ascidiacea; Stolidobranchia; Styelidae
Source: RefSeq, a predicted model, not a curated record